CCUACGGGGGGCAGCAGUGGGGAAUAUUGGACAAUGGGCGAAAGCCUGAUCCAGCCAUGCCGCGUGUGUGAAGAAGGCCUUCGGGUUGUAAAGCACUUUCAGUGGGGAAGAAAGCCUUGGGGCUAAUACCCUCGAGGAAGGACAUCACCCACAGAAGAAGCACCGGCUAACUCCGUGCCAGCAGCCGCGGUAAUACGGAGGGUGCGAGCGUUAAUCAGAAUUACUGGGCGUAAAGCGCGCGUAGGCGGUCUGAUAAGCCGGUUGUGAAAGCCCCGGGCUCAACCUGGGAACGGCAUCCGGAACUGUCAGGCUAGAGUGCAGGAGAGGAAGGUAGAAUUCCCGGUGUAGCGGUGAAAUGCGUAGAGAUCGGGAGGAAUACCAGUGGGGAAGGCGGCCUUCUGGACUGACACUGACGCUGAGGUGCGAAAGCGUGGGUAGCAAACAGGAUUAGAUACCCUGGUAGUC
RNAcentral lists this ribosomal RNA (465 nucleotides) under Vreelandella stevensii. RNAcentral's name for it is "partial 16S ribosomal RNA". It matches the Rfam family "Bacterial small subunit ribosomal RNA", at positions 338 to 795 of the family's 1533-position model. Lineage: Bacteria; Pseudomonadati; Pseudomonadota; Gammaproteobacteria; Oceanospirillales; Halomonadaceae. The record is from RNAcentral.